GAUGAAGAACGUAGCGAAAUGCGAUAAGUAGUGUGAAUUGCAGAAUUCAGUGAAUCAUCGAAUCUUUGAACGCACAUUGCGCCCCUUGGUAUUCCAUGGGGCAUGCCUGUUCGAGCGUCAUUUGUACCUUCAAGCUCUGCUUGGUGUUGGGUGUUUGUCUCGCCUCUGCGUGUAGACUCGCCUCAAAACAAUUGGCAGCCGGCGUAUUGAUUUCGGAGCGCAGUACAUCUCGCGCUUUGCACUCAUAACGACGACGUCCAAAAGUACAUUUUUACACUCUUGACCUCGGAUCAGAUAGGGAUACCCGCUGAACUUAAGCAUAUCAAUAAGCGGAGGA
RNAcentral lists this unclassified non-coding RNA (337 nucleotides) under soil metagenome. RNAcentral's name for it is "partial contains 5.8S ribosomal RNA, internal transcribed spacer 2, and large subunit ribosomal RNA". The stretch from base 1 to 120 matches the Rfam family "5.8S ribosomal RNA", at positions 35 to 154 of the family's 154-position model. The record is from RNAcentral.